Molecule: ribosomal RNA, 253 nt
Filed under: uncultured bacterium
Lineage: Bacteria
Description: partial 16S ribosomal RNA
Rfam family: Bacterial small subunit ribosomal RNA
Source: RNAcentral
UACGUAGGGGGCUAGCGUUGUCCGGAAUCAUUGGGCGUAAAGCGCGUGUAGGCGGUCCGGUAAGUCCGCUGUGAAAGUCGGGGGCUCAACCCUCGGAUGCCGGUGGAUACUGUCGGGCUUGAGUACGGAAGAGGCGAGUGGAAUUCCUGGUGUAGCGGUGAAAUGCGCAGAUAUCAGGAGGAACACCAAUUGCGAAGGCAGCUCGCUGGGACGUUACUGACGCUGAGGAGCGAAAGCUAGGGGAGCAAACGGG